UGUUGGAGGCUUUAUCUUCUCUGUAUUGAGUUUAAUUCCCAAGCUAGAAAUGAAAUGAAAUGUUAUUCCGUUGUUUAGAAAACCUUGAACUAUUGGGGAUUACAGAAACCAAUGUAGGUAUGGCAACUUUGGCUAAUGUACUAUUUGGGUUGCCGAAACUCAAAAACUUGCCAAUGUUUUUCUAUGUGAUGUUUUGGAGUUUGUUGAGAUGGAAGAUACUCAGGUUUGGAGGAGGGGGAUCCCAGUCCUAGAUUGAAAAUUCAGGAGUUUUGUUGUUCCGAGAUCUACCAUUUUCACUCAAGAAAACAAAUGACUCGAGUUUCCAAGAUGUUUCCUUAUAUAAGAGAAGUAAGUUUCUUC
Eurytemora carolleeae is the source of this 360-nucleotide long non-coding RNA. RefSeq lists it as uncharacterized. The transcript is spliced from 5 exons. The record is from RefSeq and is a predicted model, not a curated record. Lineage: Eukaryota; Metazoa; Arthropoda; Copepoda; Calanoida; Temoridae.